AAGCAUAGUUCCUAUCCCCAAGGAGCACACUGUUGGCUAGACACCCAUAAACAGAUAACCAUCUACAGGUGCUAAGUUUUGGGUUCCAGGAGAGCUUCCGGGAAGAAUUUCUUCCUAUAAGCCAGAUUUGGUAUGGAAGAAGUCAUACCCUAGUCAGUGGGCACAGCACAAACAAAGGCAGAGCAGCUGCAGGAACCUUAGCCAGGAGAUAUGCAUAGUUGAUGCUGGGAAUUUGGAGAUCAGGCCACCAGAGCGUGGUGAAUAUUGGAACACCUGGCUGGUGCCCUGGAUUUGGUUCUGUUUGUAUCUUACAGCUAUGGGAUGAUGACUUGGGAGCGCUAUGGGCCUGCCCCAUGGACAAAUACAUCCACAAGCGCUGGGCCCUCGUGUGGCUGGCCUGCCUACUCUUUGCCGCUGCGCUUUCCCUCAUCCUCCUUCUCAAAAAGGAUCAUGCGAAAG
Molecule: small RNA, 459 nt
Filed under: Pongo abelii (Sumatran orangutan)
Lineage: Eukaryota; Metazoa; Chordata; Mammalia; Primates; Hominidae
Description: retained intron
Source: RNAcentral